UGGGGAAUUUUGGACAAUGGGCGCAAGCNGAUCCAGCCAUGCCGCGUGAGUGAAGAAGGCCUUCGGGUUGUAAAGCUCUUUCAGACGGAAAGAAAUCUUCUGGGCUAAUACCCUGGGAGGAUGACGGUACCGUAAGAAGAAGCACCGGCUAACUACGUGCCAGCAGCCGCGGUAAUACGUAGGGUGCGAGCGUUAAUCGGAAUUACUGGGCGUAAAGCGUGCGCAGGCGGUUAUGUAAGACAGAUGUGAAAUCAACCCCCCGNNCCCCACCUGGGAACUGCGUUUGUGACUGCAUAACUAGAGUACGGCAGAGGGAGGUGGAAUUCCGCGUGUAGCAGUGAAAUGCGUAGAUAUGCGGAGGAACACCGAUGGCGAAGGCAGCCUCCUGGGCCAGUACUGACGCUCAUGCACGAAAGCGUGGGGAGCAAACAGGAUUAGAUACCCUGGUAGUCCACGCCCUAAACGAUGUCAACUAGUUGUUCGGUGAGGAGACUCAUUGAGUAACGCAGCUAACGCGUGAAGUUGACCGCCUGGGGAGUACGGCCGCAAGGUUA
This 554-nucleotide ribosomal RNA is filed under the name uncultured bacterium. RNAcentral describes it as "bacterial SSU rRNA". It matches the Rfam family "Bacterial small subunit ribosomal RNA", at positions 355 to 896 of the family's 1533-position model. The record is from RNAcentral.